AGACUCAGACCACAACAAACCCCAGCUGACGGGACGGGCAAGUGUGUGGCGUGAUUCAGACAGGUGUUUGCGUGAUGUUCAGGAGUAAGGCAAGCAGAAUUACCUCCGUGUCCCCAGCGCCCCUCGUGGGAGGACAUGGAGGAAAGACCUGAAGAACUCCAAGAAGAGUGAUGUCGUCUUCAAUAUUGCCAAAACAACUCUUGCCAGCAAAGGAAGUAAGGAGGAGCGACGUCCCAGCAUGAGCGACUCAGAGGCGACAGAGGUGGCCAGCAAGGAUGCAAGUGAAGAAGAAAUGUUCCAACUUGCAGUGGAGUUUGUGGAGCGGAAUGACAGCCUCAUGGCCAGCACCGAGCAACUGGCCGAGGAGAGCGAGCGACUCCGGGAAGUGAGCGAGAGCUUGAGGGAGACUGUGGAGGAGGUGAAGAAGCAGGCACUGGUGGCUAUUGAUGGCUGCUGAGGAGGAAGAUGGUGAUGACAGAGAAGCAGUUUUGUUGUAUCCCAGAGCUGUGUGGCCUGAAUCAAGGUGAGGAGUGAGAGAGGACUCUUUCAUCCCUUCAUCUUAUGUCCAGAAGCUUUGAUGGAGUGAUGCUGUUGGUUAAGAGGGAAGAGAUACUAGUUAACAGGGUUAGAUGGAACAACACAAGAAAACUGGAUAUACAUGCUACUGGGCAUGAAGUUUUGACAUAAUACAGAUUCCGGAAGGGUUCUGAGUGUAGCAAAAACAGUAAUGAAUGGCUUACAAGGUGACAUUUCAUUUGUUUGGUGAGACAUUGUGUUACAGUAAGUUAAGGUACCUGACACUUCAUUUCUUCCAGUCAAACUUCUGUAGAAACUGAAGCUUUAAAGGAAUCAAAGUCCAUAUGUUUCUGUAACGUAUUUGGGGUGGUGGUUAAGAGAGAAUGAGUAAAUGAAGAAAUAUCAAUGCCCUCUGGAGUUUUCCUUGUUUGUAUGACUUCCUGGAAGGGCUUGAGGGGAAAUUGUCUUGCAGAGAGAAACAGAAAACCAGUCAUUUCUGUCUUGGAACUUUCUGAGGAUUAUGUAAAGUGUUGAUGUUGUCAGGGAAAAGGGAAUGUGUUCAUGUCAUAAUAAGGUACAUUCUUUUCUUCAUUGUGUAAAGGAACCUGGUCAAGGGAUAUAAGGAAACUUAAUAAAAGAAAAAAGUGUGGAGUGCAAAAAAAAUCAUAAAAGAGAAUAGGUUAAUGACCCAGUGCAGAGAUGUAGCUAUAAACAUUGUUAUUUUGUUAUUAGUUACUAUAACAAAUAACAAAAUAAAUAACAAUGCUUAUACAGGGGUUCUCAACUUUUUGCAAGCUGGGCACCCCCAAAGCUGGUUCAUUACAGGUGGGGCCCCCUCCUCCCUGUGCUACCCACUCUACCCCUUCCCUAACUAUGCCAUCAUAGAUAGAAUGAUAGAAUCAGAUAGACAGAUAGAUAGAAUCAGAUAGAUAGAUAGAUAUAUAUCCCUUGGCUUGGCAUCUCCUUUGUACUAAUAGCCAGUGAGUCCAUGAUUUUUUGUGAUUUUUUUCCCCUCUCAUCAUGUGCUCGUGCCGCCCUAGGAAAGUGUCCAGACCUCCCAAUUGAGAACCACUGUUUGUGGUCAUGUAUUAUUCCUUUCCCAGAUUUCACGUCACAAGUUUAGAAAAGUGCAAGUCAUGGGAAAAUAGGACUGUACCAUUAAAAUAACAUUUUGUAUUUAUAAAUAUAUUGUCUCUUUAUAUACA
Molecule: long non-coding RNA, 1721 nt
Organism: Scylla paramamosain (green mud crab)
Lineage: Eukaryota; Metazoa; Arthropoda; Malacostraca; Decapoda; Portunidae
Exons: 2
Source: RefSeq, a predicted model, not a curated record